Molecule: non-coding RNA, 69 nt
Organism: Potamilus streckersoni
Lineage: Eukaryota; Metazoa; Mollusca; Bivalvia; Unionida; Unionidae
Source: the annotation of a GenBank genome assembly
GGUUGGCCUAGUGGUUAGGGCGUCUACCUCUGAUGCUGGAGGUUGCGGGUUCGAAGCCCGGUCAAGUCA